RNAcentral lists this ribosomal RNA (292 nucleotides) under uncultured bacterium. RNAcentral's name for it is "partial 16S ribosomal RNA". The record is from RNAcentral.
GGACUACAAGGGUAUCUAAUCCCGUUCGCUCCCCCAGCUUUCGCGCCUCAGCGUCAAGUCUGCCCCAGGAGACCGCCUUCGCCACAGGUGUUCCUACCGAUAUCUACGCAUUUCACCGCUACACCGGUAAUUCCAUCUCCCCCUAGCAGCUUCAAGAGAAAAAGUAUCUACCGACCCUCCGGAGUUGAGCUCCGGGCUUUCACAGUAGACUUUCUUCCCCGCCUACGCGCGCUUUACGCCCAGUAACUUCGGACAACGCUCGCCCCCUACGUAUUACCGCGGCUGCUGGCAC